GAUAAACUGUGGGUAUGAAAAUAUAUCAAACUCAAUUGCUUAUCUAUAUAUAUUUCGAUCAGAAGGUGAUGAUUCAGUUGAUGAUAUAUUAAAAAUCCCUUUCUAAUUAUCAUCCUGCUUUGGCCAAAGACUUUCAGAACCAUCAACCUAUGAGAUCACAUAGGAUGUUUGCUCUACUUAUUAAAAGUAAGUGAUCCCUUAUUGAUCACUCACAACCUCCAUACACACUUCACUAUAUCCAGAACACCCCA
This 251-nucleotide long non-coding RNA is filed under the name Elaeis guineensis (African oil palm). RNAcentral describes it as "long non-coding RNA (EGUI_LNC041849)". Lineage: Eukaryota; Viridiplantae; Streptophyta; Magnoliopsida; Arecales; Arecaceae. The record is from RNAcentral.